Molecule: non-coding RNA, 104 nt
Organism: Gossypium hirsutum (cotton)
Lineage: Eukaryota; Viridiplantae; Streptophyta; Magnoliopsida; Malvales; Malvaceae
Source: Rfam
AAACCUUUCGGGAACAUCCAAUAAAAUUGGAACAAUAUAGAGAACAUCAUCAUGGCUCCUCCGCAAGGAUGAUAUGCACAAAUCGAGAAAUGGUCCAAAAUUUU